UACGUAGGUGGCAAGCGUUGUCCGGAUUUACUGGGCGUAAAGAGCGCGCAGGCGGUCGGAUCAGUCGAAUGUGAAAGCCCCCGGCUCAACUGGGGAGGGUCAUUCGAUACUGUUCGACUCGAAGGCAGGAGAGGGAAGUGGAAUUCCCGGUGUAGUGGUGAAAUGCGUAGAUAUCGGGAGGAACACCAGUGGCGAAGGCGACUUCCUGGCCUGUUCUUGACGCUGAGGCGCGAAAGCUAGGGGAGCAAACGGG
This 253-nucleotide ribosomal RNA is filed under the name uncultured bacterium. Its description in RNAcentral is "partial 16S ribosomal RNA". It matches the Rfam family "Bacterial small subunit ribosomal RNA", at positions 524 to 776 of the family's 1533-position model. The record is from RNAcentral.